UACGUAGGUGGCAAGCGUUGUCCGGAAUUAUUGGGCGUAAAGCGCACGUAGGCGGCUUAGCAAGUUGGAUGUGAAAGCCCUCGGCUCAACCAAGGAAGUGCAUCCAAAACUGCUGAGCUUGAGUACUUAAGAGGAUCGCGGAAUUCCCGGUGUAGAGGUGAAAUUCGUAGAUAUCGGGAGGAACACCAGUGGCGAAGGCGGCGAUCUGGGAAGAUACUGACGCUGAGGUGCGAAAGCGUGGGGAGCAAACAGG
Molecule: ribosomal RNA, 253 nt
Filed under: uncultured bacterium
Lineage: Bacteria
Description: partial 16S ribosomal RNA
Rfam family: Bacterial small subunit ribosomal RNA
Source: RNAcentral